CCUACGGGUGGCAGCAGUGGGGGAUAUUGCACAAUGGGGGAAACCCUGAUGCAGCGACGCCGCGUGUGGGAAGACGGUCCUCUGGAUUGUAAACCACUGUCCCCAGGGACGAAGAUGACGGUACCUGGGGAGGAAGCUCCGGCUAACUACGAGCCAGCAGCCGCGGUAAUACGUAGGGAGCAAGCGUUGUCCGGAAUUACUGGGUGUAAAGGGAGCGUAGGCGGGAUGGCAAGUUGAGUGUUAAAUCUACCGGCUAAACUGGGAGUCGCACUCAAAACUGCUAUUCUUGAGUGAAGUAGAGGCAGGCGGAAUUCCUAGUGUAGCGGUGAAAUGCGUAGAUAUUAGGUGGAACACCAGUGGCGAAGGCGGCCUGCUGGGCUUUUACUGACGCUGAGGCUCGAAAGUGUGGGGAGCAAACAGGAUUAGAUACCCUGGUAGUC
RNAcentral lists this ribosomal RNA (440 nucleotides) under uncultured bacterium. Its description in RNAcentral is "partial 16S ribosomal RNA". It matches the Rfam family "Bacterial small subunit ribosomal RNA", at positions 338 to 795 of the family's 1533-position model. The record is from RNAcentral.